RNAcentral lists this ribosomal RNA (497 nucleotides) under uncultured bacterium. Its description in RNAcentral is "partial 16S ribosomal RNA". It matches the Rfam family "Bacterial small subunit ribosomal RNA", at positions 28 to 507 of the family's 1533-position model. The record is from RNAcentral.
GAUGAACGCUGGCGGCGUGCCUAAUACAUGCAAGUCGAACGCUGAAGGAAGGAGCUUGCUCUUUCCGGAUGAGUUGCGAACGGGUGAGUAACGCGUAGGUAACCUGCCUGGUAGCGGGGGAUGACUAUUGGAAACGAUAGCUAAUACCGCAUAACAGUAGAUGUUGCAUGAUAUCUACUUAAAAGGUGCAAUUGCACCACUACCAGAUGGACCUGCGUUGUAUUAGCUAGUUGGUGAGGUAACGGCUCACCAAGGCGACGAAACAUAGCCGACCUGAGAGGGGGAGCGGCCCACCUGGGACUUGGACACGGGCCAGACUUCUUCGGGAGGCAGCAGGAGGGGAAUUUUGGGAAUGGACGGAAGUCUGACCGGGGAACGCCGCGGGGGGGAAGAAGGUUCUCGGGUCGGAAAGCUCGGUUGUAAGAGAAGAACGAGUGUGGGAGUGGAAAGUGCACACUGUGACGGUACCUAACCAGAAAGGGACGGCUAACUACGUG